GCCAGGUGGCACAUGCCUGUAAUCCCAGUGGCUGGGGGGCUGAGGCAGGAGGAUUGCAAGUUUGAGAACAGCCUCAGCAACUUAACGAGGUCCUAAGCAACUUAGCAAGACCCUGUCUCAA
RNAcentral lists this small RNA (121 nucleotides) under Marmota monax (woodchuck). The record is from RNAcentral. Lineage: Eukaryota; Metazoa; Chordata; Mammalia; Rodentia; Sciuridae.